This 900-nucleotide small RNA is filed under the name Tintelnotia sp. 1. RNAcentral's name for it is "eukaryotic LSU rRNA". It matches the Rfam family "Eukaryotic large subunit ribosomal RNA", at positions 38 to 957 of the family's 3401-position model. The record is from RNAcentral. Lineage: Eukaryota; Fungi; Ascomycota; Dothideomycetes; Pleosporales; Phaeosphaeriaceae.
GCAUAUCAAUAAGCGGAGGAAAAGAAACCAACAGGGAUUGCCCUAGUAACGGCGAGUGAAGCGGCAACAGCUCAAAUUUGAAAUCUGGCCCUUUCAGGGUCCGAGUUGUAAUUUGCAGAGGGCGCUUUGGCAUUGGCAGCGGUCCAAGUUCUUUGGAACAGGACGUCACAGAGGGUGAGAAUCCCGUACGUGGUCGCUAGCCUUUGCUGUGUAAAGCCCCUUCGACGAGUCGAGUUGUUUGGGAAUGCAGCUCUAAAUGGGAGGUAAAUUUCUUCUAAAGCUAAAUACUGGCCAGAGACCGAUAGCGCACAAGUAGAGUGAUCGAAAGAUGAAAAGCACUUUGGAAAGAGAGUCAAAUAGCACGUGAAAUUGUUGAAAGGGAAGCGCUUGCAGCCAGACUUGCCUGUAGUUGCUUAUCUGGACUUUUGUCCAGUGCACUCUUCUGCGGGCAGGCCAGCAUCAGUUUGGGCGGUUGGAUAAAGGUCUCUAUCACGUACCUCUCUUCGGGGAGGCCUUAUAGGGGAGACGUCAUGCAACCAGCCUGGACUGAGGUCCGCGCAUCUGCUAGGAUGCUGGCGUAAUGGCUGUAAGCGGCCCGUCUUGAAACACGGACCAAGGAGUCUAACAUCUAUGCGAGUGUUUGGGUGUCAAGCCCAGACGCGUAAUGAAAGUGAACGGAGGUGGGAACCCUUUGGGUGCACCAUCGACCGAUCCUGAUGUCUUCGGAAGGAUUUGAGUAAGAGCAUGGCUGUUGGGACCCGAAAGAUGGUGAACUAUGCUUGAAUAGGGUGAAGCCAGAGGAAACUCUGGUGGAGGCUCGCAGCGGUUCUGACGUGCAAAUCGAUCGUCAAAUUUGGGCAUAGGGGCGAAAGACUAAUCGAACUAUCUAGUAGCUGGGUC